CCCCCCCGGCGUGCCGACGUGACCUCAGCGCGACAGCCCCGCCGCGCCGCCAUGAUGAGGAGGUGAGUUCACAGCAGGGAAACGUAGAAGUUUUCUCUCGGAUCAUUCAUAGCUCAUUGAGGACUCCACCCAGCAUCAGUUCUUAGCUUUCAAUCUCUGCCAGUCAUAAGGUCAGUCGUCUUUCCUCGUUGUUUGUAUUGGACGUAAACAUCUCCAUUACUUUACGUCUGUACCGAAUGUUAAGCUCUCCUCCGCCUAGGUUUUGGGAUCAUGGCCUCCAGACUAGCCCAUAUACACACAUCACAAACUGGUUGCUUUCUCCCAUCCAUUACCCAUUUGUCCACCCAUAUAUCUACAUACUCAAUCUGUCAACCUCUCAACAACACAAUAAACAAAUCACCUCUCUAAACACUCAUCUAUCCAAAAAUCCACUUAAUCUACCCACUCAUAUCCCAUGUACUAGUCCAUUGCUUCUCUAUCCACAGUCAAGGGAUUCAACAGUCCUACCAACAUCCAUCCAUCCAUACAGUCAUCCAUUAGUUGCAUAUUUGUCAUCACCAAAUGGUGACAGGAGUUCAUGUCUGUCUACUUUAUUAUCUUCCCACGGCUCAUUUGGGAGUCCCAAAAGACCUCAAUAAAUGUGAGGUGUGUGUG
Mus musculus (house mouse) is the source of this 654-nucleotide long non-coding RNA. RefSeq annotates it as predicted gene, 53995. Lineage: Eukaryota; Metazoa; Chordata; Mammalia; Rodentia; Muridae. The record is from RefSeq and is a predicted model, not a curated record. The transcript is spliced from 2 exons.